CGGGGUGCAGCAGGCGCGAAAACUUUACAAUGCCGGCAACGGCGAUAAGGGAACCUCGAGUGCCAGGUUACAAAUCUGGCUGUCGUGAUGCCUAAAAAGCAUUGCAUAGCAAGGGCCGGGCAAGACCGGUGCCAGCCGCCGCGGUAACACCGGCGGCUCGAGUGGUAACCGUUAUUAUUGGGUCUAAAGGGUCUGUAGCCGGCCGGAUAAGUCUCUUGGGAAAUCUGGCAGCUUAACUGUCAGGCUUUCAGGAGAUACUGUCUGGCUCGAGGCCGGGAGAGGUGAGAGGUACUUCAGGGGUAGGGGUGAAAUCUUGUAAUCCUUGAAGGACCACCAGUGGCGAAGGCGUCUCACCAGAACGGACCUGACGGCAAGGGACGAAAGCUAGGGGCACGAACCGGAUUAGAUACCCGGGUAGUCCUAGCCGUAAACGAUACUCGCUAGGUGUCGGCCACGGUGCGACCGUGGUCGGUGCCGUAGGGAAGCCGUGAAGCGAGCCACUUGGGAAGUACGGCCGCAAGGCUGAAACUUAAAGGAAUUGGCGGGGGAGCACAAGGGCGAAUU
RNAcentral lists this ribosomal RNA (564 nucleotides) under uncultured archaeon. RNAcentral's name for it is "bacterial SSU rRNA". It matches the Rfam family "Archaeal small subunit ribosomal RNA", at positions 326 to 894 of the family's 1478-position model. The record is from RNAcentral.